This 1798-nucleotide ribosomal RNA is filed under the name termite gut metagenome. Its description in RNAcentral is "bacterial LSU rRNA". It matches the Rfam family "Bacterial large subunit ribosomal RNA", at positions 587 to 2395 of the family's 2925-position model. The record is from RNAcentral.
AUUCUGGUGAUGGCGUGCCUUUUGUAGAAUGAGCCUGCGAGUUACGGUAUGCAGCGAGGUUAAGGGAUAGGAGUCCCGGAGCCGGAGGGAAACCGAGUCUGAAUAGGGCGAGUAAGUUGCAUGUCGUAGACCCGAAGCCAAGUGAUCUAGUUAUGAGCAGGUUGAAGCUCAGGUAAAACUGAGUGGAGGACCGAACCCUAGUCUGUUAAAAAAGGCAGGGAUGACUUGUGACUCGGAGUGAAAGGCUAAACAAACUUGGAAAUAGCUGGCUCUCCCCGAAAUGCCUUGAGGGACAGCCUUAUCAAAAUCUUACGCAGGUAGAGCACUGGAUGGACUAGGGGGCUUCACCGCCUACCAAACCCAAUCAAACUCCGAAUGGCGUAAGACAACUGAUAGGAGUGAGACUAAGGUUCGUAGUCGAGAGGGAAACAGCCCAGACCGUCAGCUAAGGUCCCAAAAUACCGCUAAGUGUGAAAUGAUGUGUGAUUGCGAAGACAGCCAGGAGGUUGGCUUAGAAGCAGCCAUUCCUUAAAAGAGUGCGUAAUAGCUCACUGGUCGAGUAAUGAUGCGCAGACAAUGUAACGGGGCUAAGCGGUAUACCGAAGCUACGGAUUCAGCACUUCAUUGUGUUGGAUGGUAGGGGAGCAUUCCAUGGACUGAUGAAGGCAAAUUGUAAAGUUUGCUGGAGGGGAUGGAAGAGAGAAUGCAGGUAUAAGUAGACGAAAAGACGGGUGAGAUUCCCGUCCGCCGAAAGCAUAAGGAUUCCUGGGUAAAGGUCAUCUGCCCAGGGUAAGUCGGCCCCUAAGGUGAGGACGAAAGUCGUAAUCGAUGGGAAACUGGUUCAUCCAGUACCUUAUUAAGUUUCGAGGGGAUGACGCAUGAGGUGAAACCCGGCCGGGCGACGGUAGUCCUGGUCAAAGCAGCGAGUUGAAGAUUCCGGCAGGCAAAUCCACCGGGAGAGAUGAGCUGUGACAGCGAGUGGAACGACAGUGAAGCGAAGCGGGCGUAAUCAAGGUGCCAAGAAAUAAUCUCUAAGGUUAGGCUUAAUAAGACCGUACCGUAAACCGACACAGGUAUGCGGGAUGAGCAAUCUAAGGCGCUCGAGAGAACUCGCGUUAAGGAACUCGGCAAAAUACAUACGUAACUUCGGGAGAAGUAUGGCCAUCAGUGGUUUAGCAAUAAGUUAAGGGUGGCAGCAUAGAGCAGUCCCAGGCGACUGUUUAUCAAAAACACAGGCCUCUGCGAAUCAGCAAUGAGAAGUAUAGGGGCUGACACCUGCCCGGUGCCGGAAGGUUAAGAGGAGCGGUUAGCAGUAAUGCGAAGCUGUGAAUUGAAGCCCCGGUAAACGGCGGCCGUAACUAUAACGGUCCUAAGGUAGCGAAAUUCCUUGUCGGGUAAGUUCCGACCCGCACGAAUAGCUGUCUCAACGCGAGACUCGGUGAAAUUUAAGUACCGGUAAAGAUGCCGGUUACCCGUGGUUAGACGGAAAGACCCCGUGAACCUUUACCGUAACUUAUCAUUGGGACUUGAUUCGACAUGUGUAGGAUAGGUGGGAGACUGAGAAGCAUGGCCGUUAGGUUGUGCGGAGUCAUUGGUGAAAUACCACCCUUGUCGGAUUAGGUUUCUAACCCAUGCCAUGAAUCUGGUAUGGGGACCAUGAUAGGCGGGCGGUUUGACUGGGGCGGUCGCCUCCCAAAGAGUAACGGAGGUGCGCGAAGGUUCCCUCGCGCUGGUUGGAAAUCAGUGUAUGAGUGUAAAGGCACAAGGGAGCUUGACUGCGAGACUGACAGGUCGAGCA